This is a non-coding RNA of Dipodomys ordii (Ord's kangaroo rat), 65 nucleotides long. NCBI's taxonomy places the organism in Eukaryota, Metazoa, Chordata, Mammalia, Rodentia, Heteromyidae. The record is from Rfam.
GGUGGCUCAGUGGUAGAAUGCUUGCCUUGCAUGCAAGAGGCCCUGGGUUCGAUUCCUCAGCACCA